UACGGAGGGGGCUAGCGUUGUUCGGAAUUACUGGGCGUAAAGCGCACGUAGGCGGCUUUGUAAGUUAGAGGUGAAAGCCCGGGGCUCAACUCCGGAAUUGCCUUUAAGACUGCAUCGCUAGAAUUGUGGAGAGGUAAGUGGAAUUCCGAGUGUAGAGGUGAAAUUCGUAGAUAUUCGCAAGAACACCAGUGGCGAAGGCGGCUCACUGGCCCGAUACUGACGCUGAGGUGCGAAAGCG
RNAcentral lists this ribosomal RNA (238 nucleotides) under uncultured bacterium. RNAcentral describes it as "partial 16S ribosomal RNA". It matches the Rfam family "Bacterial small subunit ribosomal RNA", at positions 524 to 761 of the family's 1533-position model. The record is from RNAcentral.